This is a long non-coding RNA of Marmota monax (woodchuck), 6394 nucleotides long. RefSeq lists it as uncharacterized. The record is from RefSeq and is a predicted model, not a curated record. The transcript is spliced from 3 exons. Lineage: Eukaryota; Metazoa; Chordata; Mammalia; Rodentia; Sciuridae.
CAGCGUUCUUGGGUGAAAACAGGAAGCAGCUGCCGAGCCUAAGACACAUCCAACCCAGCAGGAGCCAGAACCUUCCGAACAGGCGUGAAUGAGCCUGGGGAAGAGAGCCCAGAGGCUCGCGACUCAGAGCCCCGAGAAACUCCCACCUGAACACCUGGAGACAAGACGGUCUGUCAGCCGGCCAAGGGCACGUCCAGGAGGACAUCAGCUACGACAUGCCGCUUCAUUUUUACCACUAAAGGUUUGUGGUGACCUUGUUUUGGUAAAUCUGUCAGCACCUUUUUUCAACAAUUCAAGUGAUUUUUUUUUCAACAAUAAAUCUUUUAAGUCUAACUAAGGUACUUUUUGUGGGGGGACACUGGGGAUUGAAGUCAGAGGUACUUGACCACCAAGCCCCAUCCCCAGCCCUAUUUUGUGUUUUAUUUAGAGACAGGGUCUCAUUGAGUUGCUCAGCACCUUGCUUUUGCUGAGGCUGGCCUUAACUCACGAUCCUCUCGUCUCAGGCCUGCUGGGAUUACAGGCCUGUGCCACCGCGCCCAGCUGAUUACGGUAUUUUUAAGAGACAAUGCUUUCGCAUACUCACUACUCUAUGGUACAGCGGGAACAUGACUCCUGUGCACCGGGAAACUAAGUGUGGGACUUGCUUAAUGUCCACGUUUGCUUCACUACAACCAUAGGACCGCCUGCCUUCCAACCCCUGUGCAGAAUAUCAACCGCAUCCUCCACUCUCCGCAGAGGCAGCGUGUCCCCCAGUCUCACAUGGCACCCUGGUCUCAGGAAGGGGUGCCUCUGCCCCCACCCCUCUGGCAACGUCUGGAGACACGUUUGGUUGGCACCACUUCCCAGAGGGUGCUUCUGGGCAUGGAGUGGGUGGAGGCCGGGGCUGCUCAGCAUGUCAGUGCCAGAUGGCCCAACUCCAGAGGAUGAUCCUGUCCCCAACACGCCCAAGGGACGAGUGAACAAUCCUCCAGGGGGCCAGAGCCACAAUUCUUAACUCUGGAGCAUAUUUCAAAUGGCCACUAGAGGUCAGAUGAGGCCACAAGGUACCUGGGACCACAUGAGCUAAAGGGACAUCCUUCCACUCUCCCUGCUGUCCCCAGCGUGGGCUUCCCCAGCUCUCGGCCUCCCCUCCUCCAGGACCGCCCUCCUUUCAUUAAGAUACACAUGGAAGGGAAACGUCCCUUAACGUGAUUCAGUGCGUGACAUUCCUUUGCUCUUGCUGUGUCACCAAAUAAAAAAUUCUCCGUCUGGAUCAGUGUCCCCGCAUGGAGUGGGAACUGCCAGAGUGGGACACCCUGCUGAGUGUGGCUUGGACGCCCAGCACGGGCACAGUAGGUGAGCGAUGACGGGGAACCGAGGCACGAGGCCCCGUCCAGGAGCGACUCCUUGAUUGGCGUUUUAGGAAGUGUUAGUUAAGAUUUCCCCACAUUUGUGCCCGGAUUCCGUUCCCGAGUGAAGACGUUUGAUCAGUGGAUUUGUGAAGCGCCCAGUCUCAGCAAGCAGCCCACCACAUGCAGAAAGCCACAGAAAACCCCGAGACCUCCAAGGUCACCACAGCCCCUGCCCGCCUGGCCCACAGGCCUGGCACUGAAGAGCCACAGGGCCACUUGGACGUCUCCCGGGCGAGUCGUACCUAUGAUCCUCGGCACUACUGCCUGAAGAGGUUUUUCUGUGAAAACAAAACCAACCACUUUGAAGGCAGGUGGACUUCACCAGGUGGGCCUGCUGACCGACACCCCGUCGGAGGCCUGGUCCUAGGCGAGCGAGAGCUCUGCUGGCUUCGGAUGCGGUCUGAGUGUGUCCCCCAGGUUCACAUGCUGGGGUUUGGUCCUCAACAUGGUGAUAAGAGGUGACGCCUAGUGGGAAUUCACUACUGCUCCUCCCCGUCUGUCUCUGGCUUCCUGUCUCACCAUGUGACCUCUCUCCCACACUCCUACGAUGCAUGAUGCCAUCCACCAUGAUAGGAGGUGGCCAAGAGGGUCUGGAUCAUGGGGCUAGCUGAUCUUGGACUUGCAGCCUCCAAAACUGUGAGCAAAAUAAACCUCUUUUCUUUCCAAAAGACCCAGCCUUGGGAGUCCUGCCCUUGACCUCCCAUCACUGAUUGGUACCUUCCUCAACAAGUGCAGGGAAGCCAACAAACGGGAUGGGGAGCCAGAGGAAAUACUCCCCAGAGACUCGGUCUUCUGGGACUCCUUUAGGGUGUUGAAUCUGGUGACACUUUCCCUCAACCAACUUAGCCAUUUCCCCAAGUCCAGCGCAUUUUGUUUUUAAUGAGUAAACAGUAAGUGCUUUGAUGCCUGGGAGGCACCACUGGAUGCUCUUUUGGACCCGGGGUCAUAGGGGAAAAAUGCAAAGAGGACGACACGAAAGCAGCAGCGUUCACACUCUGAAGGUUCUGGGAGACGUCUGCUCGGUGGGCAGCACUGGUCAGUGCUGGGACGGACAUUAUUUUAGAACUCUGUCCCAGGCCAAGCCCCCUGGGGUUUGAUCCACUCUGGAAAAGGACAAUUGCGUCAGGCAGUUCUGGGUGGCCGCCUGCUCAAGUCCUGGGGGAAGGACAAAGGAUGGAGAGACGAGGAUGCUGAGGGACAAAGUGACAUAGCCUCAUCAAGCCAGUUCACAGAAGGGCAGGGAGCCCAGCUUUCCAGAGGGGCUUCCAGAGUCCCUGCCACCCACUGCUCCACAGCUCUACCGACACUAACGCCGAGAAGGGUGCGUGGGGGAACGCUGCAUCCACAGGUGUGUGUCUGCCACCUGGGACUUUCCUUGCAGGAAAGGAAAACAAGCGGAUUUAAAGCUUCGAGUGAUAUUUGCUGCGUGCCUCCUCUGGACGCCAGAGACACCUCAUCCAGUGCCUCUCCUCACUUAAGGAAAUUCAACCUAUUUAAAUAGAAGCCUCUGGGCUUUGAGGAUCUCUGGAACAUUCCAAAAGGAUGAAUCUUACAUGAAUUCAGAAAGAGGGGAGGGACCGAGUUUGAGAUUUAGCAGUAAAUCAAGUAUGGGGUGCAGGCAGGCAUUUCUCAAGCUUUGCCUAAUAAUCAAAUGGAAUUUGCUUCACAACUAGGGUGGAGAAUGAUGCAGUAAGAAAGGUAAAUGUCAGGUUAUAUAAAUUUUCCCUUUUGUGCGAUUAUUUACUCUUGUUGGAAGUGGUCCCAUUGAAAUCUCAAGGGUUUUUUUUUUUUGUUUUUUCCCUUAACUGGGAAUUGAACCCAGGGAGCCACAACCCCAGUCCUUUUUGAGACAGGGUCUCACUAAGUUACUGAGGCUGGCCUCAAACUUGUGAUCCUCCUGCCUCAGCCCCCCAAGUGCCUGGGAUUCCAGGUGUGCACCACCACCUGGUAAAAUCACAAGAUUCUUUUUGCUCCAUCCAGGAGAGGCUCAGCUCACAUUCCACCCACGUCCACCUCCUCUCGUUCUGUAAGUAUUGACCCUGAACAUCAAGCCAAGAGACACCAAGAGAACCUGGGGCUGUAAGAGGCCUAACCUGGGGACGAAAACGACAUUGUGCAGGUAAUCCUCAAAGGUCUUCCGAAACGAGGACUCCUCCAGCUCCUUCAGAAUCUGAGAGUCGGUCUUCGGGCAGGUGCAGCACUCCCCGGCCGAGUCCUCGUACUCGCUCUGAUUGUGCUUCUGAGAAUCGUCCGACUCGAACGGCGGGGACCACGUGCGCGAGGGCAGCUUCAAGCCUAAGGGAGGCAGAGCCAGAGGUUCAAGCCUCCCCCAAAACACACACUCACACAGAGCAAAGGGGUCUUCUCAGAGAGGCUGGACACAGGUGACAGGGCCCAGGGUCCAGCUCCUCUCUCUGGAGGGACUUGCCAGUGUCCACUGGGAGAGCACGUCAGUGUGUUUUAGAAACUGACACCAACGUCGCGGGGCUGGAGAGUGUUAGGGAUCUAGGAAAAGCCUCCAUGCUCUACAAUAAACCAGUAAACCAGGGUCAGAUGGCACAGAAGGGCCAAGGGUGACCGCAGGUGCCAUACGGAACAGUCUCAGAGAACAAAACUGCUGAGCCAGUCUGAAUUCAGCCACACACACAACUUGAUGGAAAGCGAUUCAGUUGGUACAAAGAGCAAGUGCAAAGGCCCCGAGUCAGAGGUGUCCUUGGCAUAUGGAAAAUGCAAGGGACCCAUGUAUCUAGAGUGGGGCGAGGGAAAGGACAGGGGGAAACAGGGCUGUCACAGUAGAGAGAACAAACGAAUCCAUCAGCCACGCAAAUGUAAGUGGUGAGAAGAUAAAGCCAAACUCCACCCAGAAUUCCAGGGGUCCACUGGUGGAUUUAGAGUCAGACUUGACCAGCGGUCCCCACCUGAGGGGUUAUUCUCACCCCGCCCUGUAAACACCAUGCAGCCUCAGGAGACAUCCGGGGAGUCCCACCUGGACUGGGGGUGCCCAUGAGUGGAGGCCAGGGAUGCUGUCAACACCCCACAAUGCUCAGGAAGGCCCCUCCGCAGAAAAUGGCCAGCCCCCCACAUCCAGAGUGCCAUGGUCGAGGACUCCCUGAACUAAGGCCAGAGGGAAGUCGGCAUUCGAAACCUCUCAGAUGGAUGGAGGACCUUGCAGCAAACAAGACUAAAGACUGAGAAAACAACUGCAUGAGCAUAAAGUGUUGGCGGAAGGCACAGGAGCAGAGAGCGCUGACCACUCCUUGCCGUUUCCAGCCCUUUAAACCCGGGAACCAGAGUCCCUCCCUGGCUUGGCUUAGGACCUCUCUGCAAGCCCAGCUGCCUCUGGUUUGGCAGAGAAUCUCGGGUGGUUCACACAGUGACACAGGGUGGAGGGGGAGGAAGGGGAAGCAGAGACCCCCAGGGGAACAUGGUGCCAAGACAUAAAAGACAAGAGUCGAGCACCACUGAGCACCAGGACCCUGAGAAAGCAUCCUUGGGGACCUUGAGGACCCCAUGGUGUGUGACUGCGCAGUGUGCUUACACGUGCCAAGGCGGCCACUACUUCUCGAGGUGGCAUCAUCUCAUGGGAACCCUGUCCUACCCUGGCUCACUGUUAAAGGGAACAUCAUCACGUGACCCUGACUGCACCUGGUUUUGACACCAGUCUUCAGAGUGUCUAGUUGCAUAGUGUUUAAAGAUGUGGAUUUUCUUAGUGUGCAAGAGAACAAUGCGCGCGUGCACCCUGGGAAGCAGGAGACAGCACCUGUGUCCCCCAUAAGUGUCACACGGCGUGGCCAACCCACCACGGCUGCCCGUACUCACCUUUGAGACAAUAAUCCAACUCGUACAGCUCACUGUCUUCCUCCUGCCUUUCCCAGUAAACCAGGUAGUGCGUGAUGUUGCCGUUGGGGUCCGAGGGGGGCUUCCACUUCAAGAUGAUCUGAGACGAGGAAUUCGAAACCGAGAUGGGAUCCAGGGGGACGGAAGGAUCUGCGAGAGAGAAGGAAGCAGGCCGACCGUGAGGAGCAGCAGGCUGCCGGGUGCACCAAGAGGGGAAGGGACACCCAAGUUACAGGACCGCGAGGCAGCGGCUGCAGUGUGUUUAACAUCGGAGAAAACUGCCAACACAAGGAACGCUCGCCAGGCCAGGCCAGGCGAGGGUCACCAAGUCACAGUCCACUUGCACUACAGAUGGCGUGGCCACAUUCCCCCACUGACUUAAUGAACAUGGAUGGAGCCCCAGCAGGCGCCAAGCUCUGAGCUGAGCACUGGGAAGAUGCUGCUGGGGAAGAAGGACCCUGGGAAGAGACCAACAGACUCAUGCUACUGGUUCCAGUUGGCUCCAAAGUGAACCUGGUCCCUGGGCAAACUUGAAGCCACCAGCUGUCAUCCAACAUCCCCCACAAUGCACAGCGUUAGGCUCCACAAACCAUUCCCCUCAAAAACGAGGUGACCUAGGGAGUUGGGGAGGGAGGGGGCACUCAAGGUGGAGACAGCAGAGUGUACAAGGGACCCAGAUGCUGGAAGUUUCUAGAAACUCAGCAUGUGGCAUCGAUGGGAGACGGGCUGCAAGUGGACCAGCCCAGGAAGCAGUGUUGACUUGAAAGCUUGCCUUGUUCCCCAUGGGGCAAGGGUGCUCGCUUUCCGCCCUACGGACGCUGGGGCUGGACGAGGCUCUGUCACAGGGAGCCGUCGCCGGUCUCCCCACCCCCAGGUGGGACAACCACCCGCGCCAGCAGACACUGCCUAGCGCUCCCUGGAGAGGCAGAAUCGUCACUCUUUGAGAACGGCUGCUGUGGGAGAAAGACUUGGGUUUUGCAAAACUAACUUAAUUGCUAGGAAACAUCCCAGUAAAAAAAAGACAAUUAGAGGAGGAGGAGGAACGAAGGGGAGAAAAACGGUAAAAAUGGCAAAUCAUGGAAGCCGGGGACAGUCAGCCAUUCUUUCUAGCUUUGCAAAUGUUUGAAAAAUUUACUAGAUUGAAAAAAUAAACGAUUGCCCCCUUA